This 253-nucleotide ribosomal RNA is filed under the name uncultured bacterium. RNAcentral describes it as "partial 16S ribosomal RNA". It matches the Rfam family "Bacterial small subunit ribosomal RNA", at positions 524 to 776 of the family's 1533-position model. The record is from RNAcentral.
UACGUAGGGGGCAAGCGUUGUCCGGAUUUACUGGGCGUAAAGGGCGCGUAGGCGGCGCAACAAGUCACUUGUGAAAUCUCCGGGCUUAACCCGGAGCGGCCAAGUGAUACUGUCGUGCUAGAGUGCGGAAGGGGCUACUGGAAUUCUCGGUGUAGCGGUGAAAUGCGUAGAUAUCGAGAGGAACACCUGCGGCGAAGGCGGGUAGCUGGGCCGACACUGACGCUGAGGAGCGAAAGCAUGGGGAGCGAACAGG